Molecule: ribosomal RNA, 92 nt
Filed under: Spirosoma sordidisoli
Lineage: Bacteria; Pseudomonadati; Bacteroidota; Cytophagia; Cytophagales; Cytophagaceae
Description: Spirosoma sp. TY50 partial 23S ribosomal RNA
Rfam family: Bacterial large subunit ribosomal RNA
Source: RNAcentral
AAGGGGCGUUGGAGACGACGACGUUGAUAGGCGGCAGGUGUAGGCACAGAGAUGUGUUGAGCUGAGCCGUACUAAUGGCCCCGGACGCGUGU